GUUUGAUCAUGGCUCAGGAUGAACGCUGGCGGCGUGCCUAACACAUGCAAGUCGAGCGAUUCUCUUCGGAGAAGAGCGGCGGACGGGUGAGUAACGCGUGGGUAACCUGCCCUGUACACACGGAUAACAUACCGAAAGGUAUGCUAAUACGGGAUAAUAUGCUUUUGUCGCAUGGCAGAAGUAUCAAAGCUCCGGCGGUACAGGAUGGACCCGCGUCUGAUUAGCUAGUUGGUGAGGUAAUGGCUCACCAAGGCGACGAUCAGUAGCCGACCUGAGAGGGUGAUCGGCCACAUUGGAACUGAGACACGGUCCAAACUCCUACGGGAGGCAGCAGUGGGGAAUAUUGCACAAUGGGCGAAAGCCUGAUGCAGCAACGCCGCGUGAGCGAUGAAGGCCUUCGGGUCGUAAAGCUCUGUCCUCAAGGAAGAUAAUGACGGUACUUGAGGAGGAAGCCCCGGCUAACUACGUGCCAGCAGCCGCGGUAAUACGUAGGGGGCUAGCGUUAUCCGGAAUUACUGGGCGUAAAGGGUGCGUAGGUGGUUUCUUAAGUCAGAAGUGAAAGGCUACGGCUCAACCGUAGUAAGCUUUUGAAACUGAGAAACUUGAGUGCAGGAGAGGAGAGUAGAAUUCCUAGUGUAGCGGUGAAAUGCGUAGAUAUUAGGAGGAAUACCAGUUGCGAAGGCGGCUCUCUGGACUGUAACUGACACUGAGGCACGAAAGCGUGGGGAGCAAACAGGAUUAGAUACCCUGGUAGUCCACGCCGUAAACGAUGAGUACUAGCUGUCGGAGGUUACCCCCUUCGGUGGCGCAGCUAACGCAUUAAGUACUCCGCCUGGGAAGUACGCUCGCAAGAGUGAAACUCAAAGGAAUUGACGG
Molecule: ribosomal RNA, 876 nt
Filed under: uncultured bacterium
Lineage: Bacteria
Description: bacterial SSU rRNA
Rfam family: Bacterial small subunit ribosomal RNA
Source: RNAcentral